GCGGUGGUGCAGUGGGUAGCACUAUUGCCUUACAGGAAGAUGGUCAUGGGUUUGAAUCCUGUCUGGGGCA
Non-coding RNA from Gymnothorax javanicus (giant moray), 70 nucleotides. Lineage: Eukaryota; Metazoa; Chordata; Actinopteri; Anguilliformes; Muraenidae. The record is from the annotation of a GenBank genome assembly.